UUCAAAUACAGUGGUGCCCCGCAAGACGAACGCCUCGCAAGACGAAAAACUCGCAAGACGAAAGGUUUUUUCGUUUUCGAGUUGCUUCGCAAGACGAAUGUCCCUAUGGGCUUGCUUUGCAAGACGAAAACGUCUUGCAAGUUUGUUUCCUUUUUCGUAAAACCGUUAAAACCCAGGGUGCAUUGCUGGAAGAGGUGCAGUUGCGACUUGACCUCGAGGAGCAACACAUUGCACGCGGUGUGGUGGCCUUUCUGAGCUUUUUAAAGAGUUUGCUGGAUUUUUGAAGCUUUUCCAAAACUUCUUUUGCAGCUGUUUGGUAAGUUAAACUUUUAAAACUUUUUUGGGUUUUUGGAUUUUGGGUUGGGGUGUUUAGAAUUCAAGGACUUGGUGUUGGGGAGAGGUUUGCAAGAAUCUGGGAGCUUGUGUGGUUUUUUCCUGCAUUUUUAUGAUUUUCUGUGACCAUUGGGCCAUGUUUAUUUUUUUUAAAAAAAAAAAUCUGGGUUUGAAUUUUUGAAUUUCUGUGUGCUGGGUGGAUGGGGGAACAGCUGGGGAGGGGUUUGCAAGAAUCUGGGAGCUUGUGUGGUUUUUUCUGCAUUUUUAUGAUUUUCUGUGACCAUUGGGCCAUGUUGUUGUUUUUUGAAAAAAUUUCUGGGUUUUGAAUUUCUGUGUGCUGGGUGGCUGGGGGAACAGCUGGGGAGGGGUUUGCAGGAAUCUGGGAGCUUGUGUGGUUUUUUUUGAAUUUUUAUGGUUUUCUGUGACCAUUGGGCCAUGUUGGUUUUUUUUGAAAAAAAUUUCUGGGUUUUGAAUUUCUGUGUGCUGGGUGGCUGGGGGAACAGCUGGGGAGGGGUUUGCAGGAAUCUGGGAGCUUGUGUGGGUUUUUUUUGAAUUUUUAUGGUUUUCUGUAACCAUUGGGCCAUGUUGUUGUUUUUUGAAAAAUUUUCUGGGUUUUGAAUUUCUGUGUGCUGGGUGGCUGGGGGAACAGAUGAGGAGGGGUUUGCAACAAUUGGGGAGGGGUUUGCAACAGUUGGGGAGGGGCUGGGGAACAGUUGAGGUUUUUGAAGACUUUGGUGAUUUUUAAAGCUUUCCCAAAACUUCUUUUGCAGCCAUUUGAGGAUUUUGAAGACUUUGGUGAUUUGCAGCCAUUUCGUAAGUUAAACUUUUAAAACUUUUUUUGGGGUUUUUGGAUUUUGGGUUGGGUGUUUGGAAUUCAAGGACUUGGUUCUGGGUUUGAAUUGCUGAUUUUUUUUUCUUUUUCUGAGUUUACAAAGGUAACAGCUGUGCUGCCAUGGGACCCAAGAAGACUGCUGCUGCUGCGGAGGCCGGCGAGAGGAAGAAGGAGAAGGUGACGCUGGAGAUGAAGAAGGAGAUCAUCCGGAAGCACGACGGUGGAAUGCGUGUGACGGACCUCGCCAGGGAGUACGGCAGGAACCCAUCGACCAUCGGGACCAUCCUGAAGAUGAGGGAGAAGAUCCUUGCGACUGAUGCAGCCAAGGGAGUCACCAGGAUCGUGAAGAACCGCCCAGCUGUUCUGGAGGAGGUCGAGAAGUUGCUGCUCAUCUGGUUAGAAGAGAAGCAGCGUGCAGGGGACACAGUGACUGAGGCCGUGAUUUGUGAGAAGGCCAAGGCCUUGCACGCAGACCUCAUCCGGGAACAGCCAGGAACCUCGGCCGAGCCAGAAGUCUUCAAGGCAAGCAGAGGCUGGUUUGACCGGUUCAAGGCAAGAUCCGGAAUCCACAGCGUGGUCAGGCAUGGAGAGGCUGCCAGUUCUGAUGUUCCUGCGGCUGAAGACUUUGCCUUGGAGUUCCUGGAGGUUGUGAAGACGGAGGGCUACGUUCCACAGCAGGUCUUCAACUGCGACGAGACCGGGCUGUUUUGGAAGAGGAUGCCCAAAAGGACUUUCCUCACACAGGAGGAGGCCAAGUUGCCUGGCCACAAGCCCAUGAAGGACCGUCUGACCCUGCUCUUCUGUGCCAACGCAAGCGGCGACCUGAAGAUCAAGCCCCUGCUGGUGUACCACUCGGAGAACCCACGGGCCUUCAAGAAACACAAGGUCGACAAGGAGCGGCUGAGUGUCAUGUGGCGAUCCAACAGCAAGGCUUGGGUCACACGUGUGCUGUUUGUGGACUGGGUCAAUCUUGCCUUUGGCCCUGCUGUCAAACAGUACCUGCUGGACAACGACCUGCCGCUGAAGGCUUUGCUUCUGAUGGACAAUGCUCCUGCUCAUCCUAAAGGCCUUGAGGUGGACUUGUUGGAGGAGUUCAGCUUCAUCAACAUCAUGUUCCUGCCGCCUAACACCACGCCACUGCUCCAGCCGAUGGAUCAGCAGGUCAUCGCCAAUUUCAAGAAACUCUACACCAAGGAGCUUUUCAGGCGAUGCUUCGAGGUGACUGAUUGCACCACCAUCACCCUGCGGGAAUUCUGGAAGGACCACUUCGACAUCGUCACCUGCUUGAAGAUGAUCACCACGGCCUGGAACGGGAUCAGCCAGAGAAAUUUGAAUUGCGCUUGGCGCAGCCUGUGGCCGGACUGUGUGGCACCAAGUGACUCUGAUGCACCAGAGUCGACAGUGGUGCAGGACAUUGUUGCCUUGGGGAGGACCAUGGGCCUGGAGGUCACAGAGGAGGACGUCUGCGAGCUGGUGGAGGAGCACGACCACGAGCUGACCACCCAGGAGCUGGUUGAACUGCAGUCAGAGGUUGCGCAGGAGCAGGCCUCGCUGGAAGAGGAGGAAGCAACUGAGGAACGGCUGUCCUCCAAAGAACUGAGGGACAUUUGCCAGAAGUGGAAGGAGGUGCAGGCUUUUGCAGAGCGGCACCACCCUGAUCAAGCACGUGGCACAUGACCAAGCGAACACUUUUGAUACGACGGUCAUGUUGCCUCUCAGGGAGCUGCUGAAAAGGCGGAUGAAGCAGCAGACCAUGGACAGGUUCCUCAGCAAGAAGCAAAGAGUGGAAGAGGAACCUUCUUCGAGUGGUCCCCCAGAGUCUUAGAAAAUGUAAUGUACCCUUUUUUGAUUUUUAAAUGUUUUUCCUGUCAUGUUUAGAAACUUAAUUUAUUGUUCCUUCAAUUUUUGAUAUGCUCUUUAAAGUAUGUGUGACUUUAAAGAGCAGUUAAUAAACUCUUGUUGUACC
RNAcentral lists this long non-coding RNA (3131 nucleotides) under Podarcis lilfordi (Lilford's wall lizard). Lineage: Eukaryota; Metazoa; Chordata; Lepidosauria; Squamata; Lacertidae. The record is from RNAcentral.